GGCGGCGUGCUUAACACAUGCAAGUCGAACGAAGCAUCUCUCCCGAAGAUUGAAGUAGCUUGCUACAGAUUGAUUCAUUGAGAUGACUUAGUGGCGGACGGGUGAGUAACGCGUGGGUAACCUGCCUCAUAGAGGGGGACAACAGUUGGAAACGACUGCUAAUACCGCAUAACAUGUGACUGUCACAUGACAGACACAUCAAAGCUUUUGCGCUAUGAGAUGGACCCGCGUCUGAUUAGCUAGUUGGUAAGGUAACGGCUUACCAAGGCGACGAUCAGUAGCCGGCUUGAGAGAGUGAACGGCCACAUUGGGACUGAGACACGGCCCAGACUCCUACGGGAGGCAGCAGUGGGGAAUAUUGCACAAUGGGGGAAACCCUGAUGCAAGCGACGCCGCGUGAGUGAAGAAGUAUUUCGGUAUGUAAAGCUCUAUCAGCAGGGAAGAUAAUGACGGUACCUGACUAAGAAGCCCCGGCUAACUACGUGCCAGCAGCCGC
Molecule: ribosomal RNA, 496 nt
Filed under: uncultured bacterium
Lineage: Bacteria
Description: bacterial SSU rRNA
Rfam family: Bacterial small subunit ribosomal RNA
Source: RNAcentral